GAGUCUUCGGACUGCGGAAGAGUGGCGAACGGGUGAGGAACACGUAAGAAUCUGCCCCUCGGUCGGGGACAACUCUUGGAAACGAGAGCUAAUACCCGAUACGCUGUGGAGUGAAAGAAUUUCGCCGAGGGAUGAUCUUGCGUCUGAUUAGCUAGUUGGUGUGGUAACUGCACACCAAGGCGACGAUCAGUAGCUGGUCUGAGAGGAUGGACAGCCACAUUGGAACUGAGACACGGUCCAAACUCCUACGGGAGGCAGCAGUGGGGAAUUUUCCGCAAUGGACGAAAGUCUGACGGAGCGACGCUGCGUGAAGGAUGACGGCCCGCGGGUUGUAAACUUCUUUUCUCGAAGAAGAAACAAAUGACGGUAUUCGAGGAAUAAGCAUCGGCUAACUCCGUGCCAGCAGCCGCGGUAAGACGGAGGAUGCAAGUGUUAUUCGGAAUGAUUGGGCGUAAAGAGUCUGUAGGCUGUAUAGAAAGUCUUUUGUUAAAUUCCUCGGCUCAACC
RNAcentral lists this ribosomal RNA (506 nucleotides) under uncultured Micromonas. RNAcentral describes it as "bacterial SSU rRNA". It matches the Rfam family "Bacterial small subunit ribosomal RNA", at positions 74 to 614 of the family's 1533-position model. Lineage: Eukaryota; Viridiplantae; Chlorophyta; Mamiellophyceae; Mamiellales. The record is from RNAcentral.